Molecule: ribosomal RNA, 253 nt
Filed under: uncultured bacterium
Lineage: Bacteria
Description: partial 16S ribosomal RNA
Rfam family: Bacterial small subunit ribosomal RNA
Source: RNAcentral
UACGGGGGGGGCAAGCGUUGUUCGGAAUUACUGGGCGUAAAGGGCCAGUAGGCGGCCAACUAAGUCGGAUGUGAAAUCCCCAGGCUCAACUUGGGAACUGCAUCCGAUACUGGAUGGCUUGAAUUCGGGAGAGGGAUGCAGAAUUCCAGGUGUAGCGGUGAAAUGCGUAGAUAUCGGGAGGAACACCUGUGGCGAAGGCGGCCGCCUGGUUGGAUACUGACGCUGAGACGCGAAAGCGUGGGGAGCAAACAGG